RNAcentral lists this ribosomal RNA (425 nucleotides) under uncultured bacterium. RNAcentral describes it as "partial 16S ribosomal RNA". It matches the Rfam family "Bacterial small subunit ribosomal RNA", at positions 354 to 796 of the family's 1533-position model. The record is from RNAcentral.
GUGGGGAAUAUUAGGCAAUGGGGGAAACCCUGACCUAGCAACGCCGCGUGAAGGAUGAAGGUUUUCGGAUUGUAAACUUCUUUGGCCCGGGACGAUAAUGACGGUACCGGGAGAACAAGCCACGGCUAACUACGUGCCAGCAGCCGCGGUAAUACGUAGGUGGCAAGCGUUGUCCGGAUUUACUGGGUGUAAAGGGCGAGUAGGCGGGGAUGCAAGUCAGAUGUGAAAUACCGAGGCUUAACCUCGGAACUGCAUUUGAAACUGCAUUUCUUGAGUGAUGGAGAGGCAGGCGGAAUUCCCGGUGUAGCGGUGAAAUGCAUAGAGAUCGGGAGGAACACCAGUGGCGAAGGCGGCCUGCUGGACAUUAACUGACGCUGAGGCGCGAAAGUGUGGGGAGCAAACAGGAUUAGAAACCCGAGUAGUCC